AAUGUACUCCCUCCGUCCGAAAAUACUUGUCAUCAAAAUGAAUAAAAGGGGAUGUAUCUAGAUGUAUUUUAGUUCUAGAUACACCCCCUUUUUGUCCAUUUUCAUGACAAGUUUUUUCGAACAGAGGGAGUAUAAA
Non-coding RNA from Triticum aestivum (bread wheat), 136 nucleotides. Lineage: Eukaryota; Viridiplantae; Streptophyta; Magnoliopsida; Poales; Poaceae. The record is from Rfam.